CUUAGGGGGUUGUCACACCGGCUAGCUCUUGUCCUUGAAGCUAGGUAGCCCCAACACUACCACCAAGACAAUCAGAGGAGGUUCAGCUUUACUUUACAACAAAAAGCCCGUUCAUAAGAAAACCAACAGGGAAGGAAGACGAUUUUUGGCUAGGUAUCAGGAGUCCUCCAGGCUGAAGAGCGCGGAGCUCAUCCCCCCUUCCCUCCCCUCGGGUUCACACACAAGUAGCGCAGCAGCGAAGGGGGACG
Molecule: long non-coding RNA, 248 nt
Organism: Pygoscelis adeliae (Adelie penguin)
Lineage: Eukaryota; Metazoa; Chordata; Aves; Sphenisciformes; Spheniscidae
Exons: 2
Source: RefSeq, a predicted model, not a curated record